GACGAACGCUGGCGGCGUGCUUAACACAUGCAAGUCGAACGGAAAGGCCCUGCUUUUGUGGGGUGCUCGAGUGGCGAACGGGUGAGUAACACGUGAGUAACCUGCCCUUGACUUUGGGAUAACUUCAGGAAACUGGGGCUAAUACCGGAUAGGAGCUCCUGCUGCAUGGUGGGGGUUGGAAAGUUUCGGCGGUUGGGGAUGGAUUCGCGGCUUAUCAGCUUGUUGGUGGGGUAGUGGCUUACCAAGGCUUUGACGGGUAGCCGGCCUGGGAGGGUGACCGGCGACAUUGGGACUGAGAUACGGCCCAGAGGCCUACGGGAGGCAGCAGUGGGGAAUAUGGCACAAUGGGCGGAAGCCUGAUGCAGCAGCGUCGCGUGCGGGAUGACGGCCUUCGGGUUGUGAACCGCUGUCGCCUGUGACGAAGCGGGAGUGACGGUAAUGGGUAAAGAAGCACCGGCUAACUACGUG
This 468-nucleotide ribosomal RNA is filed under the name uncultured bacterium. RNAcentral's name for it is "partial 16S ribosomal RNA". It matches the Rfam family "Bacterial small subunit ribosomal RNA", at positions 28 to 507 of the family's 1533-position model. The record is from RNAcentral.